This 503-nucleotide ribosomal RNA is filed under the name uncultured bacterium. Its description in RNAcentral is "partial 16S ribosomal RNA". It matches the Rfam family "Bacterial small subunit ribosomal RNA", at positions 30 to 523 of the family's 1533-position model. The record is from RNAcentral.
AUUGAACGCUGGCGGCAGGCUUAACACAUGCAAGUCGAGCGGGGUGAUGGUGCUUGCACUAUCACUUAGCGGCGGACGGGUGAGUAAUGCUUAGGAAUCUGCCUAUUAGUGGGGGACAACAUCUCGAAAGGGAUGCUGAUACCGCAUACGUCCUACGGGAGAAAGCAGGGGAUCACUUGUGACCUUGCGCUAAUAGAUGAGCCUAAGUCGGAUUAGCUAGUUGGUGGGGUAAAGGCCUACCAAGGCGACGAUCUGUAGCGGGUCUGAGAGGAUGAUCCGCCACACUGGGACGGAGACACGGCCCAGGCUCCUACGGGAGGCAGCAGUGGGGAAUAUUGGACAAUGGGGGGAACCCUGAUCCAGCCAUGCCGCGUGUGUGAAGAAGGCCUUAUGGUUGUAAAGCACUUUAAGCGAGGAGGAGGCUCUGUUGGUUAAUACCCAAGAUGAGUGGACGUUACUCGCAGAAUAAGCACCGGCUAACUCUGUGCCAGCCGCCGCAGUAA